RNAcentral lists this ribosomal RNA (433 nucleotides) under uncultured bacterium. RNAcentral's name for it is "partial 16S ribosomal RNA". It matches the Rfam family "Bacterial small subunit ribosomal RNA", at positions 29 to 507 of the family's 1533-position model. The record is from RNAcentral.
AACGAACGCUGGCGGCAUGCCUAACACAUGCAAGUCGAACGAGACCUUCGGGUCUAGUGGCGCACGGGUGCGUAACGCGUGGGAACCUGCCCUUAGGUUCGGAAUAACUCCCCGAAAGGGGUGCUAAUACCGGAUAAUGUCUUCCGACCAAAGAUUUAUCGCCUUUGGAUGGGCCCGCGUUGGAUUAGCUAGUUGGUAGGGUAAAAGCCUACCAAGGCGACGAUCCAUAGCUGGUCUGAGAGGAUGACCAGCCACACUGGGACUGAGACACGGCCCAGACUCCUACGGGAGGCAGCAGUGGGGAAUAUUGGACAAUGGGCGAAAGCCUGAUCCAGCAAUGCCGCGUGAGUGAUGAAGGCCUUAGGGUUGUAAAGCUCUUUUACCCGGGAUGAUAAUGACAGUACCGGGAGAAUAAGCUCCGGCUAACUCCGUG